Molecule: long non-coding RNA, 1135 nt
Filed under: Phaseolus vulgaris (common bean)
Lineage: Eukaryota; Viridiplantae; Streptophyta; Magnoliopsida; Fabales; Fabaceae
Description: long non-coding RNA (PVUL_LNC001059)
Source: RNAcentral
AAUUUCUUCUCUUUGUGAGCAUCAGGUUUACCUUCACUCAAAUCGCAUCGUACAAAGUCCUAGAUAGAAACUGCAUUAGUAAGACUGAAGUAGCUUAAGUUCAGUGACUCCGCAAAACUUACGCAAAAACCCGUUAAAUGUUCAAUGGUUCAGACUCGCCGUCCCUAUCCUUCAUUUGCCAAUCUGUUGCUUCUGUUUCAAAAAAAAAAAAAUCCCAGCUCAGAGUAAGAACGUUUUUAUAGGGCCAUGCCAAAUGACACACAUCUCUAGUAUUGGUAUCCUAUAAAAGAAAAGCAGGGAGCACGUGAAUUAAUCCUUUUCAAGAUAAAACAAGCUCCCCAAGUUAACCAAAAAUAUGUCAAUAUCAUAUCUUGCAGACAAGAAUGUUUGGCUCUGCUGAACUGUCAGAGAACUGCAAGAACAACCUCAGGAAGGAGCAAUGAAACCAAAGGUAUACCAGUAGUUCCCAGAUGGGAUAAAUUUAAAACACAACGAAUUAGUCUGAAUUAGUCUAAAUAAGGUUCUGUCCAUCCCAAUCCUAUUUCUAAAUUUUCAUAGAGUCAUUCAAUCUGAAUCCUACAUGAAGAACAUAAGCCACAUAUGAAAUAACAUGAGAUAUCAUUGAGAAAUAGGAAUCUGAGUUCUCAAAAGAUUUCCUGCGAUUCUUUCUAUUAUGGAAUGAGUCAAUCAUCCACUUUGGUAUCUUAUUGAACCAACUUAAGCAGCAGAUAAUUUGUGUAAGGGUCUUACUUGGCUUGUCCGAAAUCACCAUCAGUCGCCUUUGUAAGAUGCAAGCCACCAAAAGGAAAAUUGAGCACAUGCCAAACAUAACAGUGAUAGGGAAUGCAUCAACCUGCACAGAGAAAAUACAUAUUUGGUAAAAAAACACAAAAAAAUAUGAUAAUGUUAAGAUCAAGCAUUGUAUUAAAGUAGUAAGAUAGUGUAACAUACAUUGUACAGCACGACACACACAAAAAUGUUCAGAGGAAUGCGGAAAAAGUUCAUGAUGGUGCUCCUGGCCUCCUCGGGAAUGUAUUGAGAUCUCAUCUUCAUAAUGGAUGGCCAGAAUAUGCCAACGCAACUCUCAAAAGCACAGAAGCCAAGAAGUUGCAUGCAGCCAGCGAAUGAGAUGCUU